AUUCAGUAGCCUACCAGUGAGUCGUUUGAAUGAUUCAAACGUGGUGCUCCAAAUGCACGUUGGACACUUCGGUUGUGGCUGUGUUUGGAAUAAUUUUCGCAACUUUAACUACAACAAAUAAACCGAAGGAUGCAAUUGACUGUAUGGCUGACAAUAUAUAUGAGAUCAACUUCUGGAACAUCUGGUGCUAUUUGGAAACAUCAUGAGGGAUUCAUUGGUUUUCCAAUGCAGUUGUCAUGCAGUUGACUUCAAGAAGGAUCAAGACAGGCCUACAGAUGGAUUGGAGGCUUUUCUUGAGGUGUUAAAUAGCCUGGCUGAUGUGAUGUGGCCUGUGGCACGUGCGUUUGCCCCGCUCGGAGACCGCAGUGCAGAGGACCAGCCGUCAGCCACGCACAACUUUAAACCCGUUUCCAGGCAACCAACAUGCCUACAAAUCGACGGCAACUUCCCUCGACAAGUCCCUUUGUUAGUGCAGUCACGAUUGUAGAGGAAGGGCUGAAGAGUGAAAAAACAAAAAAACAAUAAAAAAAAAACGUGAAACAUUCAAUUCUUUUGUGACGUCUGAAAGUCGAAAGCUGCAUUGGCAGAAGAUGAGUCAUCAUAUGAGAGUGUUAUAAGUGAAACUAUCAGGAUGCAUUCAAACAUCGGCUAUAAUGGUGACUUUUGACAGCAUGGAGACGUUUCUGAAGAGUAAUUGACUGAAAAAAAUGAAGUGCUGUUAUUCACACUUUUGGUGUUCGGUAUGCAUCAUUACGUGGCAUCGUAAACAUAGUUAAAAUGAUGUGCAUACUGUUUUUCCAAGUCAUAAAAUAGAUUUGUGUGAUGAACAAAGCACCGUUUUAGUUUUUAUUUACUGAAAACCUGCUUUUCAAGGAAGCUAUUAGCAGCUAAGACAGAGUCAUUUCAGUCGGUUAAAGUUGACAGCUGAAUCACUCUUAUGAAUGAAUGAUUCGUUUUUUUCAAUGAAGCAGUUAAUCCGAUUUACAUAGAAAAAAAGAAAAGCCUCAUUCAUAAAUUGGACAUGGCUGCAUUGCAUCAAGGUUUUCAGCUUUUUUUGCUUUUUUGCACGUUUACUGUACAUGACCUGUUAACACUCAGAACAAUGCUGUUUUAAAAUAAAUCAGAGAAAGGAUGAUUGAAUGUAAAUAAAUAAAAAAAACACACAACGUUUAAAUUUAAC
Molecule: long non-coding RNA, 1180 nt
Filed under: Danio rerio (zebrafish)
Lineage: Eukaryota; Metazoa; Chordata; Actinopteri; Cypriniformes; Danionidae
Description: lncRNA (ENSDARG00000117502.1)
Source: RNAcentral